GACGGAUCUUGCACAGUGGACUAAACCACAUCUUAGCAACAAGGUGGAACUACACCGUGUUGUUGACAAGAAACUCGGGAGCAUACCAAUGGAAGAAGCUCAGGAUUUUGCUGAAGUAAUCCUUCGAUGCCUCGGUUCCAACCAUAGGACCCGACCAACAAUGACUGAGGUUGUAGCUGAUUUGGAGAAACUACAACAAAAAAUGAAUUGCUACAAUUCAGCCCAGUUGCGUUAUCUACAUACAAGAAAAUGAAUCUUUCAAUAACUUCCUUGAAGGCUUCAACAACGAUAUCA
RNAcentral lists this unclassified non-coding RNA (294 nucleotides) under Hevea brasiliensis (rubber tree). Lineage: Eukaryota; Viridiplantae; Streptophyta; Magnoliopsida; Malpighiales; Euphorbiaceae. The record is from RNAcentral.